Molecule: ribosomal RNA, 497 nt
Filed under: uncultured bacterium
Lineage: Bacteria
Description: partial 16S ribosomal RNA
Rfam family: Bacterial small subunit ribosomal RNA
Source: RNAcentral
GAUGAACGCUGGCGGCGUGCCUAAUACAUGCAAGUCGAGCGAACGGACGAGAAGCUUGCUUCUCUGAUGUUAGCGGCGGACGGGUGAGUAACACGUGGAUAACCUACCUAUAAGACUGGGAUAACUUCGGGAAACCGUAGCUAAUACCGGAUAAUAUUUUGAACCGCAUGGUUCAAAAGUGAAAGACGGUCUUGCUGUCACUUAUAGAUGGAUCCGCGCUGCAUUAGCUAGUUGGUAAGGUAACGGCUUACCAAGGCAACGAUGCAUAGCCGACCUGAGAGGGUGAUCGGCCACACUGGAACUGAGACACGGUCCAGGCUCCUACGGGAGGCAGCAGUAGGGAAUCUUCCGCAAUGGGCGAAAGCCUGACGGAGCAACGCCGCGUGAGUGAUGAAGGUCUUCGGAUCGUAAAACUCUGCUAUUAGGGAAGAACAUAUGUGUAAGUAACUGUGCACAUCUUGACGGUACCUAAUCAGAAAGCCACGGCUAACUACGUG